RNAcentral lists this ribosomal RNA (253 nucleotides) under uncultured bacterium. RNAcentral's name for it is "partial 16S ribosomal RNA". It matches the Rfam family "Bacterial small subunit ribosomal RNA", at positions 524 to 776 of the family's 1533-position model. The record is from RNAcentral.
UACGAGGGGUCCUAGCGUUGUUCGGAAUCAUUGGGCGUAAAGAGUAUGUAGGCGGCUAGAUAAGUCAGGUGUGAAAUCCCCGGGCUCAACCCGGGAAGUGCAUUUGAUACUGUUUAGCUUGAGUAUGGAAGAGGGUAGUGGAAUUCCUGGUGUAGUGGUGAAAUACGUAGAUAUCAGGAGGAACACCGGUGGCGAAGGCGGCUACCUGGUCCUAUACUGACGCUGAGAUACGAAAGCGUGGGGAGCAAACAGG